AGGUGAUAUGAACCGUUAUAACCGGCGAUUUCCGAAUGGGGAAACCCAGUGUGUUUCGACACACUAUCAUUAACUGAAUCCAUAGGUUAAUGAGGCGAACCGGGGGAACUGAAACAUCUAAGUACCCCGAGGAAAAGAAAUCAACCGAGAUUCCCCCAGUAGCGGCGAGCGAACGGGGAGGAGCCCAGAGCCUGAAUCAGUGUGUGUGUUAGUGGAAGCGUCUGGAAAGGCGCGCGAUACAGGGUGACAGCCCCGUACACAAAAAUGCACAUAUUGUGAGCUCGAUGAGUAGGGCGGGACACGUGGUAUCCUGUCUGAAUAUGGGGGGACCAUCCUCCAAGGCUAAAUACUCCUGACUGACCGAUAGUGAACCAGUACCGUGAGGGAAAGGCGAAAAGAACCCCGGCGAGGGGAGUGAAAAAGAACCUGAAACCGUGUACGUACAAGCAGUGGGAGCCUCUUUAUGGGGUGACUGCGUACCUUUUGUAUAAUGGGUCAGCGACUUAUAUUCUGUAGCAAGGUUAACCGAAUAGGGGAGCCGAAGGGAAACCGAGUCUUAACUGGGCGUUAAGUUGCAGGGUAUAGACCCGAAACCCGGUGAUCUAGCCAUGGGCAGGUUGAAGGUUGGGUAACACUAACUGGAGGACCGAACCGACUAAUGUUGAAAAAUUAGCGGAUGACUUGUGGCUGGGGGUGAAAGGCCAAUCAAACCGGGAGAUAGCUGGUUCUCCCCGAAAGCUAUUUAGGUAGCGCCUCGUGAAUUCAUCUCCGGGGGUAGAGCACUGUUUCGGCAAGGGGGUCAUCCCGACUUACCAACCCGAUGCAAACUGCGAAUACCGGAGAAUGUUAUCACGGGAGACACACGGCGGGUGCUAACGUCCGUCGUGAAGAGGGAAACAACCCAGACCGCCAGCUAAGGUCCCAAAGUCAUGGUUAAGUGGGAAACGAUGUGGGAAGGCCCAGACAGCCAGGAUGUUGGCUUAGAAGCAGCCAUCAUUUAAAGAAAGCGUAAUAGCUCACUGGUCGAGUCGGCCUGCGCGGAAGAUGUAACGGGGCUAAACCAUGCACCGAAGCUGCGGCAGCGACACUAUGUGUUGUUGGGUAGGGGAGCGUUCUGUAAGCCUGUGAAGGUGGCCUGUGAGGGUUGCUGGAGGUAUCAGAAGUGCGAAUGCUGACAUAAGUAACGAUAAAGCGGGUGAAAAGCCCGCUCGCCGGAAGACCAAGGGUUCCUGUCCAACGUUAAUCGGGGCAGGGUGAGUCGACCCCUAAGGCGAGGCCGAAAGGCGUAGUCGAUGGGAAACAGGUUAAUAUUCCUGUACUUGGUGUUACUGCGAAGGGGGGACGGAGAAGGCUAUGUUGGCCGGGCGACGGUUGUCCCGGUUUAAGCGUGUAGGCUGGUUUUCCAGGCAAAUCCGGAAAACCAAGGCUGAGGCGUGAUGACGAGGCACUACGGUGCUGAAGCGACAAAUGCCCUGCUUCCAGGAAAAGCCUCUAAGCAUCAGGUAACAUCAAAUCGUACCCCAAACCGACACAGGUGGUCAGGUAGAGAAUACCAAGGCGCUUGAGAGAACUCGGGUGAAGGAACUAGGCAAAAUGGUGCCGUAACUUCGGGAGAAGGCACGCUGAUAUGUAGGUGAAGCGACUUGCUCGUGGAGCUGAAAUCAGUCGAAGAUACCAGCUGGCUGCAACUGUUUAUUAAAAACACAGCACUGUGCAAACACGAAAGUGGACGUAUACGGUGUGACGCCUGCCCGGUGCCGGAAGGUUAAUUGAUGGGGUUAGCGGUAACGCGAAGCUCUUGAUCGAAGCCCCGGUAAACGGCGGCCGUAACUAUAACGGUCCUAAGGUAGCGAAAUUCCUUGUCGGGUAAGUUCCGACCUGCACGAAUGGCGUAAUGAUGGCCAGGCUGUCUCCACCCGAGACUCAGUGAAAUUGAACUCGCUGUGAAGAUGCAGUGUACCCGCGGCAAGACGGAAAGACCCCGUGAACCUUUACUAUAGCUUGACACUGAACAUUGAGCCUUGAUG
This 2027-nucleotide ribosomal RNA is filed under the name Escherichia coli. RNAcentral's name for it is "partial 23S ribosomal RNA". It matches the Rfam family "Bacterial large subunit ribosomal RNA", at positions 84 to 2136 of the family's 2925-position model. The record is from RNAcentral. Lineage: Bacteria; Pseudomonadati; Pseudomonadota; Gammaproteobacteria; Enterobacterales; Enterobacteriaceae.